GCCAGGCACGGUGGCGCAUACCUGUAAUCCCAGCGGCUCGGGAGGCUGAGGCAGGAGGAUCGCAAGUUCAAAGCCAGCCUCAGCAAAAGCCAGGCACUAAGCAACUCAGUGAGACCCUGUGUCUA
RNAcentral lists this small RNA (125 nucleotides) under Marmota monax (woodchuck). Lineage: Eukaryota; Metazoa; Chordata; Mammalia; Rodentia; Sciuridae. The record is from RNAcentral.